RNAcentral lists this ribosomal RNA (439 nucleotides) under uncultured Leptolinea sp. Its description in RNAcentral is "bacterial SSU rRNA". It matches the Rfam family "Bacterial small subunit ribosomal RNA", at positions 926 to 1382 of the family's 1533-position model. The record is from RNAcentral. Lineage: Bacteria; Bacillati; Chloroflexota; Anaerolineae; Anaerolineales; Anaerolineaceae.
CAAGCAGCGGAGCGUGUGGUUAAUUCGAUGCUACACGAGAACUUACCAGGGUUUGACAUACAAGUGGUAGAGAAGCGAAAGCGGACCGACCCUUCGGGAGCUUGCACAGGUGCUGCAUGGCUGUCGUCAGCUCGUGUCGUGAGAUGUUCGGUUAAGUCCGCUAACGAGCGCAACCCUCGCUGCGUGUUACAAGUGUCACACGGUACUGCCGGUCUUAAGCCGGAGGAAGGUGGGGAUGACGUCAAGUCAGCAUGGCCUUUAUGUCCUGGGCUACACACACGCUACAAUGGCCAACACAAUAGGUUGCUAAGCCGCGAGGUGGAGCCAAUCCUCAAAGUUGGUCUCAGUUCAGAUUGCAGGCUGCAACCCGCCUGCAUGAAGAUGGAGUUGCUAGUAACCGCAGGUCAGCUAUACUGCGGUGAAUACGUUCCCGGGGCUU